Molecule: long non-coding RNA, 35701 nt
Filed under: Ananas comosus (pineapple)
Lineage: Eukaryota; Viridiplantae; Streptophyta; Magnoliopsida; Poales; Bromeliaceae
Description: long non-coding RNA (ACOM_LNC010984)
Source: RNAcentral
CUUUCCAUCACUCCUUCCAACCACCUCAUUUUCAUCACAACUUCCACAAGAUACACACUAAUCUCUCUCUCUCUCUCUCUCUCUCUCUCUCUCUACAUUGUUGUAUCAACAUUUAAAACUGUGGACUAACUGUAUCUAGCAUAAUUGAUUAAAAGCUUAAAGUUUGAGAUUCAAAAUUCUUUCAAACUAGGAACCUAAAUGCUUCACAUUUUUUACAAAUUUUGUUUAUUCAAAAAUAAACGAAACAGUUAGUAUGCUAUCUUUUUUCUUAAUUAAAAACAUAAUAUUUGAAACAACAGCUGUCUGCUGGUAAAUCACUUGAUACUUUUCUUGCAAAGAAGCCCGCGUGAAUUCAAUGCUCUUGUGUGCGGCGUUCUCAAAUUGUUAUUAUUUUUUUAAACACUACUACUAAUGAAUCUUCCAAAGUUGCAAGCUAAUAUGCUAAUAUGUUGAUAUAUCUCACAUGAAUAUAGCACAGACCAACGUGCUAGAAAAAAUACGUUGUAAGUGUUAAAAAAAAAAAAGAAAAUUAUAUGAGUCAAUCUAGGAUACCUUCAAAAGCAUGUGAAUAGUAUCUAUUAUUAACUUUUUAAAUGUCAGGUCCAUAUAGUGUCAUUACUAAAUAGUAAAAUCUAAAUAUCUGAAGGGUAAAAGGUUUAAAGUAUGUACUGCUUAUAUAUAUGCUUAGAGUAUUAUAAUCCUACUAAAAUUAGAGUUGAACUAGAAUAUUUUUAUAUGUUUUACUUUUUCACCUUUGAAUUUACUUCUAUUCUAUUUAUUCCCACUAAACCCAAACAUUCAAAAACAACAAAGUUUUUUUUUUUUUUGAGAAAAAAGUAAUAUACUACCUGCUUCGUUUAAUUAUUUCUAAAAUCCUUUAGAAAAAAACUUAGUUGAAAAUGUGAAUUAAUUAUAAAUCAAACUUAAAAUCUCGGAUACUAAUCAUCAAGUCUUUUUCCACUUCCGUUAGGAACAUUAGGUAAUAACAACAAACAUUGAAAGUACACGAUUAUUGAUACUUUCAUAAAUAUUCCUGCUCAAGUUCCAAAAUUAUAUACUUUUUUACUAUUAUCACAAGUAUGAGGUAUCGCCAUGGUCUAGUCGUAGGUAAUGCUCUUUGACCACCCUAACAUUUCAUAAAUUUUCUCUUAUUCCAAAUCCUAUUAUUACAACACUCGGACUUAAUUUCUGCUUACGAUUGAAGAAGCGAUAGUGUUUGCUCCGCAAUAGUUACCAAUUUGCUUUUCCUCGCUUUAGUUAGUACAAUUAAUUUUCCUUUUCAUAAAAUUAUAAUUCAUUUGAUGAGAGAAACAAUAAAUAGAACAUUUUGAGGUUUAAAGUAAACAAAUUGAUUUAAAAUUUUUUCUUCUGCUUUUGAAAGAAGCUAUUGAAGGAUUACAACGAAACUAUUAAUAUCUACUUUUUUAAAAAAAAAAUACUAACAUAUUUAAUCUAGUGGCGCUAAAACCUAUAUAUUGCAGAGCAAACUUUCCUUUGGUUAAUGAAAGAGAUAUAUAAUUGUAAUUAAGUUUCAGCACCAAAAACAAGUUUUUGGGCCAAACUGCAUGCAGUGGGCGAAAGUUAAUUGGUGGGUUGUUUUCUAUCGAAAGUCAAAGUGUCAGCCCAUCAAAAUUGCAAUUCGAAAGAGUUAGUGCAUAUGUUUCCUGAUUUUGAUCUCUUUAUUUAUAUUUUGUGGAAAUUAAAAAAAUUUAAAUAUCCUUACAAUAAUCUUUUAAACAAUUCUCGUAUAAGAUUAUCCACUCUAUACCCAUAAAUCAACUAAAAAAACCCCAAAAUUAGAUUCCGAAAAGAAAAAAAUACACAAAUUGUUCUAAGGCUUCCUUUGAUAUUGUAGAGAGAUUGUGUUAUAUGCCAUGAGAAAGUACGUUGAAAAAAUAUUCUAUUUGUUUUCAUACGUAAUAUUGCGUUCCACACAUCACGAUGAGUCGGUUACGUUAUAUUUUCUACGGUCCCAUCGGAAAACACAGAAAUAUAUCUCUAUAUACUUUUACCUGAACUCCAUUUUAUCUAAUAACGUUAGAUGAGCCUCACUACCAAACUAAACCUAAAUAGCGCCGUCUCUAGGAUAUUCUUUACGAAAAUAAAUUCUAUUAAUUAAAGUGUCCACUCCCAGUCACACAUUCAAAAUUUGAUCUUAAUUUUAUACAGCAAGUAGUUGUGUGUGUGACUCCAUUAAUUCCCCUGCAUGCGACGUGGCCGGGGAAAGAGAAUUUUUACGUGAAACUAUCACGGGUGGAAAAACACACGUAUAUAUGUUCUUGAAUCUCAAAUACAUUUUAUGAAUACUAGUUGGGUGUACGUACAAAUACACAUAAUAAUUAUUUUAAUUUAUUUUAAAUUAAUAUAAAAUUGCACAUUAUAUUUAUUUAAAAAUUUAUAAUUUGUAAAUUCAUAUAUUAUAUUUUAUUAGAAAAUAUUUGUAAUAUUCUAUAUUUUUUUAUAUAUAUUAAAUAUUUUUAUAUAUUUUUUGAUUUCUGAUGAUCUAAAAUUUAAAUAUGUGUUUUAAACAAAAAACAUCAAAAAUUAAUUCAUAUUUAUUUCAAAAUUUAAAAUUUAAUUUUCAUCCACUAUAAUUUAAAUUUUUGAAUAAGAAUGCUAUUUUUUACCAAAUUAAUCAUAAUUGUUCGUUUUUAUUUAAGAUUUUUUUAAUUAAGUCAACAGUUCAUUUUUAUUUGACACGACCUUUCGUAGGAUUGGAUUUAUAGAUGGAUAAGAAUUCUAUUUUUUAAUAGAUUAAUCAUAACCGUUCAUUCUUAUUNACUUUAGUACCCUUUAGUUUUAACUUUAUUACUAAUUUAACGAAAAAAAUUAGUGGAAUCGAUAAUAAAAAGAGAAAAUGCGAAACCACAGAAAUAAUAUUUGAAGUUUACCCUGAACCAUUUAAAAAUGUGUUAUAUAUAUAUAUAUAUAUACUAGUUGAAUGUACGUGCAAAUGCACGUAACAAUUAUUAUAAUUUAUUUCAAAUCAAUAUAAAUUGUUACAUGAUCAAAUUUUAAUUUUAAUGUAAAAUAGAUUAAUAGAAAUGUCAUUUUUUAACAAAUUGAUCUUAACCGUUUGUUUUAAUUUGAGAUAUUUUUUAAUAAAUUAAUUAUAAUUGUUCAUAGAAUUGAAUUUAUAGAUGGAUGCCAAUGCUAUUUUUUAAUAGAUUGAUUAUAACUAUUCUUAUUUGAGAUAUUUUUUUAACAAAUUGAUCAUAACCAUUUAUAGAGAAUAGAUUUUUAUAUGUAGUAGAAAUUUAAUAGAUUGAACAUAACCGUUCGUUUUUAUUUGACAUAUUUUUUAACAAAUUAAUUAUAACCAUUCGUAGGGAAUAUUAUUUUAUAUUUAAUAGAUUGAUCAUAACCAUUAAUUUUAUUUGAGAUAUUUUUAACAAAUUUUUAUUUGAGAUAUUUUUAACAAAUUAAUGAUAACCAUUCGUAGGAAAUAUUAUUUUAUAUUUAAUAGAUUGAUUAUAGCUGUUAAUUUUUAUUUGAGAUAUUUUUAAUAAAUUAAUUAUAACCAUUCGUAGGGAAUAUUAUUUUAUUCCUUUUUGAAUUCCGCCUGUCAUUGUCGGAAUUCUUAUACGCUUUUAUAUAUAGUAUAGAUAUAGAUAUAGAUAUAGAUAUAAAUAUAGAUAAUUUGAAACUUUGUUCCUUUAUGAAUAUACUAUCUCAAUUCAAAAUUUCAUCACUUGAAACGUUUUGUUUCAAUCUUAACGAGGAUGCAACACCUGGCUCCAAGCAAUGUGGCUGGGACAGUUGCACUCGUGAAGAGCACCAAACCACAUUUAUGGUGAAAAUUACUUACUGCUACAGAUCGAGUUCCAAUUCAACUUGGCCCUUCCACAAGAUUUUUUUUACUGUAAAAUACAACAAAUAAAUUUCUAAAUACCCAUAUAUAGUAAUUAUUGUAUAAAAUAUUCUUAAAUACUUUUCACAUUUAAUUAUUUAUCUCGCAAGUUUACAAAUUAAGAAGCCACAUAGCGACGAAGAAGAUAUUAUUAUUGCAUGGAAACUGGUCUAUACCUGGUCUAUAGACCAGGUUCUCCAAAUCUCAAACGGGGAGGCCUUAAUAUAAAAUCUAAAAGCAAAUAUUUUAAAAUUUUCAUUUCUUUGAAAUUUUUUCACUGAUUUUACGAGCAAUAUUAAUUAAAAGCAACUGCUUAAAAUUCAGAUAAAUGAUUUUCAAAAUUAAUUACCUUUCGAUGCUAAAUAAACCACUGUAAAACCGGCCAAAAUCAUAUCUAACGUUUUACAUUUAGAUUGUUGAGCCUCCAGGUUCGAAUCUUAAAGACCCUGGUGCAUAGACCAGGUGCAUGCAACAAUAAAUUCUCACAUAUAUUUCCAAUUCUCGGCCUAGCCAUGCACCGUUGGGAUACUGCUCAUGGGCAUGUGCAUGAGCGGGUUUGACCUUUGGUUGACCCCGCAACACCCCUCCCCGCACAACGCGGACGACACUUGCACCGUCUGAUCCCUGCCCGCAAACAGAUCCAACGGCUCCGAUGAUUCCACUCCCGCACUGAUCUCCUCCUCCUCGGCGGUAUCACGCACGACCCCGGUAAUCUCCUCCGCCUCCUCGUUCUCGCGCUUUAAAGCACACGCGGAAGCGCAGCACUCGACGAGUCGGAGGGUGAGCCUACCGCCCCUCCUCCGCGCCCGGAAGUACACGUGGCGCCUCGAGGCCACCUCGCGAAUCACGAGGCGCCCGUCGCCCGCGUACGUGCGCCGCAGCUCGCGCCGGCGCGGAAUCGGCGGCGGGAGGCCGCGGCCGCCGACUCUGCCCCUCCGACCAUACGCAGCCCAGCACGUGUCCUCCUCGUACUCUUCUUCUUCUUCUUCUUCUUCUUCUUCUGCGUCCUCCUCUGUUUCGGCUUCGGGGGCGUCGUUAAUUACGCACUCUUCUGCGGGGGAGCGAGGUGGGGAUGAUCGUACGGCUCGGAUGUUGUUGCGGGUGACGCAGUUGACGGGGCCGUUGAGAUUCGUGUCGGCUAGGUUUUUGAGGCCGAGUGGGAUCAUGGUGGCGGUGGUUUCUCUGGUUUUGGUGAAGAGGAGGAGAGAAGGGAGCAAUAUUAGGUUGACAAUGGCGCAGGAAGGAGAAGAGAGAGAGGAGUGAGACCUUUUCCAAGGGGGGUUGACGUGUAUUUAUAGGGGGCGAUGGAGGGGUAGUAUAUAUAUAUAUAUAUAUAUAUCGAAAGAGAAAUAGGCAUCUCUAAAUCUCGAGAGUGCACACCGAAGUAGAAUCUACACGAAAUAGAAACAUAUCAUCCAAAGAACACCGGAGUAUUCGGUGCACCGCGUCUAACCAAAUCAUCAACUAUUUAAAAGCCCUGUAUAUUAAAAUAUUAUUAUAGAUUUUAAGCACAUAUUUUUAAGAAUUAAAUAAAAUGAAAAAAAAAAAUGUGUUUUCACACGUAAUGGUGCAUGAGUUUUAACAAACACACCAAGCGCACGCAAUAAUUUCUCUUUAUUAGAGAUGAGGAGAUUCCUGUAUCGAGAAGAGAAAAGUGUGGCAGUGCCAGCUAGAAGUGAAAAAAGUGAGAUCGUCAUGUUGCAAUUAAAGCCGUAGCCGUAGGGGGAGUUUUGAGGGGGCGGGUGCGGUGAAUAGGGGAGUCGGGGGGGACUAAUCUGCAAUUAUGGCACGUAAUAACGCCGAAACAUUAAUAAAUAAUUACUCUUUUUAAUGAUGUCUAUAUGUGUAUGUAUACAAUUAUCCCAAAAAAUCACGACCGUUGACGUGGGCGUGGUGGCCCCCCGGGGACUGCCCCUUUUUAACGGCCCGUGAUCGCGACACGUGCGCGGAGAGACGCGUUAACUUGGAGUGGUGAUGAGAGUCUCGAGUUCUCUCCGGCGUGGCAUGAAUUCCCGGAUAAGCUAAAUCCCAAAAUUCAUGGAAAAAAAAUUAUUAUUAUUAUUAUUAUUAUGUGUCCAUUUCGAAGUUUAAUAACUUGCUAUAACUAUUGGAUUUAGAUUACCUUAUACAUAUACACUUACGAUUCUUUUUUAUAUCUACUAAUUAGUGAUUAGUGAUUGGAUUAGAUGCAUGUAACUACACACAUACAAUUAUAGAAAGCUACAGAGAUACUAAGAUGGGCAUAAAUUCACUCAUACACACCCAUCGUUGCAUAAGUCAUUAUCGUCUACACUUGAUCAUCAUAGUUUAGUAUUAAAAAAUCUAAUGUACUGGAUAUAUUAUAUACAGAAGAUACACGUGUCAGAGAUUACAAAUUUUAGACACAAAUUUUCUACUGAUAGCUAGUUAGAGCAAUAUAUCGCGACCGAAUGCGGAGGUGAUAGACUUAUAUGUAUGGUACGUUGCAGAUAAUAUUUAUUCAAUAAAUUUAUUAGAUUUUGGAAUUAAUACUUAUAAUUGAUAAUUGAUAUAUGUAGUUAAUGAUGUAUAAGUAAUGUGAUGCAACUCCAAUAUGCCAAACUUUAGAUCCACUACGGAGCCUUGUCACAAAAAAGGCAACUAGGCUCUGGGCCAUCAAUGGAAACAAUUGGGCCGUCGGACCUUUUGUGUUGCCCAUUGCUCUUUUUUGUUUUCUUUUUUUUUUUUUUUUCUUUUUGUAAUGCUUCAGCUUGAUGGAGAGAAUACGAGAGAAAAAAAGAAGAAAAAAGAAAAGAAAAGAAAAGAAGAUUAAUAAGUGUUUUUUUUUUUUUGUUGUUGUUUAGAUUAAGGAAAGAUAAAAGAGAAAAUAAAUUUCUCUCCAUUUUUUGAGAGAAAAAUAUUGGUUAUUCUCUCUAAAAUUAAUAAAUUUAUUUUCUUUGAUUACUUUAUUUUAUUAGUUUUUUUAAAAAUUUUCUGUCCGGUCCAUUCAAUGAGAAUAUUUUUUUAGAGAGAAAAAGAUAACAAGCUAUUUAUUUCGUUCAUUUUUUCAACAAUAAACUUUAAACUUAGGAUAUCGAAUGCGGACAAUCGAGUUUUUAACAGGUUGCGCCAAGUAUAAUCUAUCCAAAGAGAGUGUUACUAUAAAGCAUGUGUUUCUCUCAAAAAAAAAAUUUUCCCUCAAAAAAAACUAUAAAGCGUGUGUGAGAUUUUUCAAAUGCGUAUGCUGAGUUACAUGCAAUUUGUAUUAUUGGAGGCAUUCGAUUUGGUGGAGCUCUUACAUAUAUGCUAAUAUAUAGGAAGACAAUAAUUGGAUGAUUAAAUAGUUUUAUUUUUUUUACUUCCAAAAAAAGGUGAUUAAUUUUGUACUCGUGAGAAGAAAAAAAAAAAGAAAAAGAAAUUGACUUCAUCAAACAAUUAAUGCUGAUGAAUGAUGGUGACAGGUAAACUGCAAUAAUAGAUCUAUGUUGACGGCCGUAGUAGGUGGAAUUAGUGGGACACCCAAUUGAUUUGCUCAAUCCGGCAAUCUCUUUUAUCUUCUAUUUAUGAUUUAUGGUGAUAUAUUUUUCUAUAAUACGUAUAAGUAUAUUUUUUUUUCUCGUGUUACACUUUUGCAUAUUAAGUGACUGGACUGUAUUACAAAAAAAUUAAAUUUUAAACGAAAAAUACAAAAUACUACUAUACUGAUUUAUAUGUGUAUAAUUUUGUUUUUAGUUUUUAUUGACAAACAUUUAGUUGACGGUAUGUUGGCACAACUUGGGAGGAAUAAUUCUUAGAAUUAAUGCUUCAGGCGUAUCAUGAGUAUUUUUUAUUUCUUUUGUUAACAAAAGUGUAAACAUUAAACUAGAAAAAGAAAUUUAUAAUUUUUUUUAAUUUUAGGACUGACUUAUAAUGUUUGUGUUUUAAAACUUUUUACAAAAUUUAAAGGGCUUUGUGAGUCUCAAAAUGGAGUGCGCAGCUACCAUUUUCUAAAAUUAAUAAUAUUAAUAAUUUUUAUAUUUUUUAUCUUAUUUUAGAAUAAAUUAAAAUAAUGAUUUUGAUUAGACUGUUUAUAUCUCAUAUUACAAAAAAAAAAUUAUUUUUUUAGAAAAAAGUAGCAACUUCUCUGCUUUAUUUAUUUUUUAAAAAUAAAAUUAAUAGAUUUUGAAUUUAGAAUUUGCAAUCUUGAAUACUGACUAGUAACUAUCAAGCCUUUAGUUAAUUAUGUUGGGUACAGUCCAUAAAAUUACAGCCAGGUACGAUCAGUAAAAUAAAAUUAAUUAGAUAUUAAGAUUAAUACUAUAUUGGUUGUUACGAGAUUAAUCUUUUAAGUAGAAUCAGAUCCAAACCUUUUCUCUAUCUAUAAUGAUUUAGCCACUAACAAUAAUAUUUCGUUGGGCCAAUAUUAUUUUUUGUGAGAAAAGAGCAGCAUGCUACUUGCUUCAUUCAUUAAGUGAAUUUAGCUAUAUAGAAUGAGGCAAUCAAAGCCUCGAGACAAUAAGAAGUCAAUGGAAAAAAGAAAAAAGAAAAAAGAAGAGUAUAUAUGGUAAAGACGAAAAUAAGCGUCAGAAGGAAGGGUGUAACAAUCACCAACAUUAUCCAACUCUACAAAAAUUAGCUCAUUCUUUCGCCAGUUCUCCGAUGAGCAAUAGAGAUAGCAUUCAUAGAUAAAUUCCGAAAGAUAAUAUUGUUUCUUUCAUACUAGAUCAUCCACCACGUGGCCGCCAUAAAUAUCCGAGUCUUCGCAGUGUCAACUAGUGCCCCCUUUUCUAACUCCUCCCAGGCAGUAUUGAAAUCCUCAGUGGAGGGGAGGACGUGGGAGUCUUGAGGAGCAAAAAAAAUAUGAAUUUGUUAAUGACAUAUCCCACCAACAAGUGAUCAACAGUCUUCAGACCAUCCGCACACAAGAUACACCAGUAAUUUCCUGACCAACUCCUUUUAAACAAAUUGUACACGGUAGGCGAUCUUUUUUUUUAAAUUAAAUCUAAUUAUUAUUUCUAGGGUUUCGUCCAAAAUACUAUUUGGUCCAAAAUAUUCAAAUCUAAUUAUUAUUUUUAGUGUAUUCGUUAUAUUUAUAAACUUUUCAGUUCUCACACGCUCUCUAAUACAACGUGUGAUGUGUGAUUAUCGUAAUAUCUCAAUUUCGAUCUUUAAGUUCCAUUCCUACUUUCACAUGUAAUCAUUUUGUGAGAUAAAUAACUUGCUAUAAAAACCAACAUUAGACGAUCAAAAAUCCAAAAUUGCCACGUGGACUUAAACUUUUCCCCUGCCUCGAUCUCUCCUGGUUAAAGAAUUGGAUUUAUUAUAAGUCAAAAAUAUUCAUUACUAAGAAGAUGAGAACUCGCAUCAGCUUUCCUCGACAACGUUUUACGCACAAAGAAAAAGACGGCGUUGGAGUUUCUAUCUAGAAAGAGGAAGAACCCUCUCUCUCUCUCUCUCUCUCUCUCUCCCCAAUAAUUUUUUUUUUUCCUUUUUUUACGUUUUGGUUCAUCCAAUAGUUUCCAUAUUUUACCCGAUUUAGUCGAAGUUGGCGAAAUCCCCAUCUGGGUUUUCCUCUUUGGAUUGGUUAGGGUCCAUAAAGAUCUAAUUUUUGGGGAAAAUUUUUCCGGAAUUCGAUUUUGUUGGGGGAAUUGGGGGUGGGUGCUGUUGAUUUAGGAACUGAGUUGAUUGGUUUUGAAUGGUGGGUAUUUAAGGAGAGGUUUUGGUUCAUCUGGGAUUGAUCUUAGUAUGGCCGGAGAGGAUUCAAUUGAGGUAAAAUUUAGGCUUUUUGAUGGGACUGAUAUUGGGCCCAGUAAAUAUGAUCCUUCAACAACUGUGGCGUCUCUCAAGGAAAUCAUAUUAGCUCGGUGGCCACAAGGUGGGAGCUUUGUGAUCUUUUAAUUGCUUUUUAUUGUUCAUCAAGUUAAUAUUUUGCUUUCAUUUAUGUUCCCUCUUACAGCUUUACCAAAUUCUUCUUUUUUUAGUAAUUUAUAUUUCCUGGUUGGCAAAACUAAUUACAAUUUCUCUUUUGGCGUUUUAAUGGGAAAGUUGAAUCUAGUUACACCUUUUAUUGUCUUUAAUAAGCUAAAAAAAGGGCUUAAUAUCUCCAGAUCUUGUGUGGUUUUUAUUUGUCUCCUUUACUAUCUGUUUUAGAUUAUGUCCAAUUUGGUUUAACCAAACAUAGGUUUUAAUGUGGAAAAUUGUUAACUUGGCUGCUUCUGAUUCUAUGCUAUUAUAGUUUCAGUGUAAUUAUGCUCAAUUUCUGUGUAUGGAUAGCUUAUUCUAUAAUUCUGAUGAAAAUGAUCUAUUAAAUAACUCGGUGGCAUUUAUUUAUUUAUUUUUUCCAUUUUUUUUCCUUUGCUUGUUGUAGCUUGACUUCGUGUAUCAAAUUAAUUGUAUUGUUAUAAUGUUCUAGGAAAUCAGUCUAUACCAUCUGCAUAUUUGUCCUUCUGCAUAUGGUUAUGGUACAAUUUUCUUUUCUCUGGUUUUGUCAGUUUGCAUCAGUUUGAUAUUCACUGUCGCUUGUUGUAAUAUCUUCUUCAAUCAUAUUAUCGUCCCUUGCAUCCAAAUUGCAUAAAACUUGCAAAUUAGAAAUUUAUCUAUUGUUGUAUGAGCGGCACUCCAUGCAAGAUCGACUAUAGUAAAUAUAGGAUUGAUACUGUAUCUUCUUUUGAUGACGCCAUUGUUCGUCUUUUUUCUAAGAGAUACAGGAAUGGUGCUACUGCAGAGAGAUAUCAUCGAAACUUAACCCUUUUGAGCUUAUCUCGAGAGCCGAUCAAAUUGGUUUUAUGUUAUACAAGUCAUGGUUGUUAAGUAGUUUAUUUUCAUUUUAGUACUUUAUAUGACACCAUCAUCCCAAUUCAUCUGAAGGCCUUGCCAACUAAUAUUGAUUUAAAUGGGGUGGCUCAUUUCAUCUUAAUUAUUAUUGUUGUUCAUUCUAUGAGUUUUAAUUAUUAGUGGGCUACAGUACCAACAUUGAUAGGAUUGUCAGAGUUAGUUCUCAUGAGAAAGGUAUCAAGUAAACAAAUUUCUAGAGAUUAAAAGAAAGUUUUUUUUUUUUUUUAAAGAAAAAAAUAGUUCUUUCAAACAUCAUGUAUUAGUAGUUGGCUUCUCUACCUACCUUUAGGUUAUCUACUUUUGAUCAUUUAGCUCCAUCUUUAAUAAAGCAAGAAUAGAGACUAUGUUCUGGGAAUUUUAUUGCUACCAUGUAUUUCAUGCUUGAUCUGUCACUUUUAUCUAAAUUUGUUACUCAUAGUUGCUUAAAUUAGUGUAAAGAUUUACUAAACGCUGUUUCCAAAUUUUUUUUGCUGAUAGACAAGGAAAUUGCUCCGAAAACCAUAAAUGAUCUGAAACUGAUCAAUGCUGGGAGAAUAUUAGAAAACAACCGGACUCUCGCCGAGUCUAGAGUACUAGUUGGAGAGGUUCCUGGAGGUGUAAUCACUAUGCAUGUCGUGGUGCGCCCUCCCCAAUUUGACAAAAACAACGGUAAUUUUGCCUUGUCACGGUAGUUUUUGAAAAGAACAUACUGAAAUAAUCUUUAUCUCCUACAUGGUUGUUCUUAUAAUACUGGAAGGUUUUGAAGUGUUGAAGCAAAUACAAACGUUGUGGUUGUUAUAGCUCUAGAUUUCAGUUGUUUAUCUAAGACUUGUAUCAAAAUUUACUCUCGGAAAAAGACUCAAAUCAAAAUUACUAUGAAACAUAGAUCCUUAGUUGAUUGCAUUAAAUAGACUGAUACAUGCUCAACCUCUUCUUCGCAGACUUAUAUUAGGAAAAGUGUUGGAGCAUUACUGAAAUUGUUUUCACGAUUAUCAAUGAAGUUAUGCAUGCUAAAGUGUUUUAUCUCCCACUUUUAAAUCGUAAUGUGGAUAGUUUUUUACCUGUGCAGCGAAACAGCCGACAAAAACCCCUAGGCAGAACAGAUGUCAAUGCACCAUUCUGUGACGCGUGAUAAACAAUUUAAUAAAGCAAGCACUUUCGUUCGCUGCUUGGAACUAUCAGUGGAUCUGUUGUGUCCGCAGGAGGCGCGAAUGCCCUUUUGAACUCAUCUUUACUGGUCCUCAAGGCCUCUAAAUUAGUUUUCGGAGUUCUCUUUCGCAAGAAUGCGUUCUUUCAUGCUUCUGGAGCUAAGACUUCAAUUCGUUGUGCAGUGCGAAUUUGUUAUUUGUGGCUGUAUAAAAUGUAAUGCGCAAACACUUUUUUUUUUUUUUGGUGUUUCCUACGACGCUGAAUGACACAAUGAUUGGAAUUAUUCUUUCUCGAAAAUUGGUUUUCAGUGUCAGAAGCUGCUGCUGUAUGUUAGCUGUGUGUAGCAGCAAUUGGUAGCAUAAAUAUGUGUUCAGGGAAAAGGAGUUGCUGCUGUGCUUAAGGUAACUUGGAUUCUUGUUUGCACUGAUUAUAAAGCUGGUUUUCUAGAGACAAGUCUGGAUUAAUAUGAAGGUUUAUCGCUGAGGCCACUUUCAGAUCAGACAGUGGGCAGACUGGGCAAUAAUUUGAGUGACAUUAUUAACAGGUUUUAUUGCUGACAUUGAGAUUCGCCGCUGAUCGAAUUUAACCGGAUUCAAUAUGAGCCUAAAAAACCUCUAAAUUUUACACUCUAGACUUUUAUGUAAUGUAACUAGAAUUCAUUCAUUAGUGGCUUUGAUAAUGUCAUUUUCUGGACUCUUGUUGAAUCCAUUAUUGGGAAAAUCGAAAUGUAGGAUCUUGGAAGCUCUGAAAUAGUAUUUAUUUUUUCUUUGUGAGAAAAAGAUGGCAUGCUAUUCACUUCUUUUUCCUUUUUUUAUAUAUAUGAACUUAGCUCAAAAUGUAAAUAAUUAUGUAUUGAUUGUUGAAUCUUUUGUUAGUUGCGCUAUGGACGGUCUUUAAAACAAUUGUAACUAAGCUAACAUAUAAAUUGAAAAGAUAUACUAAAAGUCUAACACCCCAAAUAAUUGUAAGAUCACAACCCUACUCUCUUUCCUAAGGUUUAUGCAAUCCUUUUUUAGAUUUUAGGAUUAAAACACAACUUAGUGUGAAAAAGUUGGUCUUUGAAUGGGUAAUUCGAAUUAAAAAGUCUCCAGAAAUGUUUUACGAUGUAAAAUUGUCUUGGAUUUAUUUUGUUAAUUUCAUUUGCGAGAUUCGAAUCGUAACAAUUAGAGAUUUAUUCCUCGAUUUUUUUUCUACCAACCAAACUUACUCCAAAUACAUUUUUGGUGCUUUCCGAAACCUAAAGCAUUGGAAACCAUAGUUUUGUUAACAGUUUUUUUUUUUUUUUUUUUCCCUUGAGAAAUAAAUGACAAAAAGAAAGAAAAGAAAAAUAAACAGAAAGGUUUUCUCUUGUAUAUAUAUAAAAAUUACAUUCAUAAAAACUAAAUAUUGGGAAAUAAAUUUAAAAAAGAAAAUUCAAUUACCUUUCUUUUUUUUUCAAGGCACAAAUCACAUAGGCCAUUGCACAACUCCUAUUUAAUCCAUCUCUACACCAAAAAAAAAAAAAAGAAAGAAAAAAGAAAUAAAAAAAAACUCUAUAAGCCCCUCCAGCCUCAGUAGUUAAUUAACUGAUUUGUCAGGGGCUAAUGCGAAUAUUUUAGUACCAGUUGGAGCGACCUUUUUGCUUUUUAAUAAUCCGAAGAAGCGUUUUAUGGGUUUCUUCUCUUUAGAGCUCUUCGCUUCCAUUCGCUGCUUCUUCUUGUAGAGCUUCCUCAUCACGUACGCUUCAACUAAGUCUCCUCCCAUCGAAGCCAUUAAUUAAUCACUCGUGAAGAAAAAAGAACAAAAAACUAAGUAAUUAAGCUAAAUACUUGUACUGGGUUUUGUCCUAUAAAACGUACGUGGUAAUGGUUAUUUAUAGAAGAUGUGAAGCAAGGAGUUGACUUUAUGAGGCUAAAUUUUAAGUGGUGGAGUUGUGGUGCAACUUUGGCUCCUCUUUAAUUUCUUUUAGGAAAAACUUCAAAAACCCCUUCUGUUAUUUUACUUUUUUUUAUUUUAAUAGCCUAUAGUUUAAAAUGUAUCAAAUUAGUAUUUUAUGAUUUUACACUUGUUCACUUUAAUACCAUAUGGUUUAAAGUGUAUCGAGUUAGUACUCUAUGGUUUCGCACUUUAUCACUUUAGUAUCCUGUGGUUUAAAAACGACAUGGUACUAACUUGAUACAUAAAUAAAAUAAUAGAGUACUAACUUGAUACAAAAAUAAAAUCAUAAAGUACUAACUAGAUAUACUUUAAAUCAUAUAAUACUAAAGUGAUAAAGUGAAAAACCACAUGAUACUAACUGGAUACACUUUAAACCACAGGGUACUAAAAUAAAAAAGUGUGAAACCAUGAGCUUUUUUUUGAAGUUUUUUCUUUCUUUUAUUAGUUCAUGCCGUGCAUGACGAUGUGUGUGUAAUAGUUUUUUUCUUUUUAAUUUAUUUUUAACAACAGAUUUAUUUUUUAAAAAAACUUAACUGAAAAUAUGAAUCAACUAGAAUUUAAAUUUUAAAACUGCGAAUAUCACCCACCAAAAUUUUUGCCACUUUUCGCUAGGAACAGUCAGUACAUGUGUGCAAUAGUUGUCGGCAAGAUAGAAGAAAAAGGGGGGCAGGGGCGGCGGCCGGCUAAGUGGGGGCGGCUAAGUUUGGAAGUAUGGAAUAAAUUGGACUGAAAAAUUGGAAACACAACAGUACGUCAGAAUUGGAUGAGUCUAUAUUAUUCAAAUAAUAAUUACGAAUAUAAAAAUUAAAAAUUUUAAAAAUACCAACUUUAAUUAUUUUGCACCGAUAGUUUAACGAGUGCUAGUCUGUUAGAAAGUGUUGUAAAAUUUAACCCGAUUUGAAUGUCAAAUGUCUCCAUCAUGUUUGAUGAUAGGUUAUUUCACCAUUAUUAUUUUAUAGCAUUGAGAAAACCUUCAAAAUAUUUUAAAUUUUUAAACACUAUAAAACAAAAAAAAAUUAAAAUUGAUACAUUUGAUCAUCAUAUUAUUAGGCUUUCUGGCAUUAGUCGCAUCAGGUGGGGGUGCUUUACGAUUCGCACGCGAAUCUCGUUCCUGAUCAUCAUACUAUUAGACGUGUCAUACCAUUACACGUGUCCCACCCAAUUUUUAUCAGCAUCAUGACCGUUCAGAAUAUGGACGGUCGUGAUUCGCUCUGCUACGCCGCCAUCUAGGGUUUCCGACGACCCCCGUCCUCGCCCUCUCCCAACUCUCUCGCUCUAUAGCUCGCGUUUCCCUUCAACAAAUGGUAAUCAAGUUCCUCAAAAUCCCCAAUCCUAUCCUAGUUUUUUUAUUAGAUUAUUGCGUUAAAAUCCGUGGCGAAUCUCGCGGAACCCUGAAUUUAAUUCUUUUAUUUUGAUCAAUUAGCAUUGCAAUAUGCAAUUAGUGUAGGGUUGAACAAUUUGUUGCUCAGAUUAGGAUUAUUUAUGAAUUGACAUGCUGUUGAUAUUGGAUAUUAGGUUUUUUUUUUUUUUUUUCCCUUUUUUUAUAAUUACUGUACAAAGAAAAAUGCUCAUUAUUUUUUAAUAUGAUUUUUUUUUCCCUAUUUGCAGUAGCUUUUGUUCCAUUGAUUAGAGCAGAGGUUGCAAUUUGAUGCUUCUUAAUUUUGCAAGUAGGUUUAGAUCUUCUCGUGGAGUCCGAGAAAUCGAUUCAUAUAGCUCAAGUUCAUCACUGCAACUGAGUACAUUUAUAUUAUUGCGGAGAACCAUUUGCACUAUUAGAAUGCCCACUCCAGAUCUCAAUCUUAGCACCAAUAACUCUACAAACUCAAAUGAUGAGGCAUCUUGUGAGGACGAUGUGCGCGCGCCGAGUGUCCAAUCCACUCCCGACAUCGAAAAGAAUUACGUGCACCGUGUUUACGAUGCCAUCGCUCCGCAUUUCAGCUCCACCCGGUUCGCCAAGUGGCCGAAAGUAGCCGAAUUCUUGAGCUCCUUGAAACCUGGUUCGGUCAUUUUAGAUGCGGGCUGUGGGAACGGAAAGUACCUGGGACUGAACCCUGAUUGCUUCUACAUUGGCUGCGACAUAAGCCCUCCCCUCAUCGAGAUUUGCGCGAGAAGAGGGCACGAAGUAAUGGUCGCCGAUGCUGUUAACCUUCCUUACAGAGAGAAUUUUGGCGAUGCGGCGAUUUCCAUUGCGGUGUUACAUCAUCUGAGUACCGAAACGAGGCGGAGGAAGGCCGUAGAGGAGUUGAUUCGGGUGGUUCGGAAAGGCGGUCUUGUUUUGAUCACGGUGUGGGCUGUUGAACAGGAGGACGAGUCGUUGCUCGCUAAGUGGACUCCUCUUUUUAACAAGUAUGAUGACGAGUGGGUGGAUAGUAGCAUUUCUCUGCUUAGAAACCAAUCAAAUAUCAAGUUAGAGAGCAUUCCAGAGACCGCUGAAGAUUCAGGUGCAUCAAAGCAGGUAGAGAAUCGAGUAAAAGAUGUUCAAGAAAACCCAGAUGAUAAAAUUGUGGCAUCGCCUUCAGUUCCUUCUGCGGACAAUGGGUGUAGUAUAACUCAGCAAGAAUACUUUGUUCCUUGGCACCUGCCAUUCCAUCGUGCUGAGAUUGGCGGUGCAUCAGCUUCUGCUCUGGAAAAUGGGCUCGCGAAGAAAGAUGAUAAGAAGGGGGCGAUAGUGUACAACCGCUAUUACCAUGUUUUUGCUGAAGGGGAACUCCAAAGGUAUAGCAUCGUUGGCUUUUUUACUCGUCCUUUUGAAUCUUUGUAAUCAUAAAACUCGACCUCUUUCUUUCUUUUUUCCAGGUUAGUUUCCGGCGUAGAAAAUACGGCCAUAGUUGACCAAUUCUAUGACAAAUCCAACUGGUGUAUUGUUCUUGAGAAGAUUUGAACCACGGAUGCACUGUAGUGUUAACCUUAUGCACCGGAUGGACAUCAACUAAAACAAAUCUAAAGAGACUGAACUAUUACAGUCAAUUCAAUACACCAAACUUUUUUCUAGGUGAUGUACGUUCCCUCGUAGUCCGCAUGUUUUGGUUUCUUCGUCUUGAACCCUCUAUAUUGUCUUUAUGCUGGCAUUAUAGGAAUCAACUUCGGCAUCUAAAGGUUUUGGCCUUCUGAUAUGCCUAAUGAAAGUUUUGGCAUGUGAAUGAGACAUGGCAGAAAUUUGCUUCCAUUCUGAUGGGUUUUCUUUUGAAGAAUGGAUUGCUGCUGAGAGGUAAAGUAUACUGCAUGAAAUACAGAAACUUAAAAGUGAAAUUUACUUGCAUACUGCUUUAUUUGGUCGAUUCAAAGUCUGCAGUCAAUUUGUUUUCUCUGAUCAGUGAGUUUAAACCGUGUCAUCGUAUCAUUGAAAUCAAUUCUGCCUUUCUUUUACCUUUUUUUGGGGUAUAUAGUUAAUGGCAGUUUCUUCUCCCCUGCAAUUGAGUGUAGUCUCUUAUUUCGAUUGAAGUAUCAAUUAAUGCAUUCUGUUGAUGAUCUAGCCGCACUGAGUUACAUUUCUUUUGAGAGAAAAGGCAAAAAUAUCUGGAGACUCCAAUUAUGGCCCAUAGAUCCCUUUGUUUUGAUCGACACCUCAAAUUUAGAUUUUUUUUUUCUUUUUAAUUUGAGUUAUUUCAUUCGAAUUUGGGACCGUAGUUGAAACAAAGUUUCUGACGAAAAUAACCAAAACCAGAAGUUGAGGGAUUUAAAAAAGAAAUAUAAAGUUCUGGGGCUUAUUUCAAAGUAGUCGAGCAGCUGUUUGGGUCUCUGUAUAAUUUUUGAUUGACUCCUCCUUCGCUUUGACUUCUCCGGUUCCACUGGCUUGGUCAAUAACAUAUGGAGUGAAAGACAUUAUUUACCUUUUCUCUUGAAAAGCUAAAGACGCCUGGCUCAGUUGCGUUCUUGCGCUGUACACAAACCAACAGAAUACACACCAAGAGGGUUCUUGCUCACACAAAAAGUGUUUACAAGCAUGCUUAUUUCCUUGCUCCAUAUAACAAGUGCCAAGAAGCAUCCUCCAAGUUUGUGGAAUCCAAAAAGUGGGGAUGGCAGUAGGAAAGCCCAGAUGGGAGGUAACCGUUCUGCUACUCGCCCUUCUGGUUUCGACCGUGGCUUUUUCCAUGAAGCCACCCUCAGCAGCCUCCUGUCACCAUGAGUGCGCACGCGGGGUGAGCCUGUGCAUUGUGCAGCUGUGCACUUGGGUGCACUCGGGAGGUGGAUACAGCGAGUGCCGAGAAACAUGCGAGAAAGCAGGGGGCUUCUGCGAGAACGGCUGUAAGAGUGGCAGCAGCAGCAGUAGCAGCAGCAGCAGCAGCAGCAGUGUUGGUAACAAACAAUCGGCUGAGCCGCCCGUGGUAGCCUGAAUGCUCUUAUCGUUUUUGCCGAACUAAUUUAGAUUGUUUUGUACUUCUCUUUCCUUGUGUACUCGCAAUCAAAAACAUUUUGUGUUUCUCAUGAUGCACAAUACUCUCCCUCUCAAUAUGCAAGUGCCACUAUGGGGUUAAAAUAAAAUUCUUAUAUUGUUUUGAAAGAUUAGCUGGUUUGUUUACAUAAUUCUGUGUUCUUGAAUUGUAUGUCACAGCCCUCAAAUUCUUCCAAGCAAGGUGUUUAUGACAAGCUUUUUCUCCUUUUUUCUUGGUUGCAUGAAUCUAGUAUUUACAUUGCUUAGUUACUGAACAAAAAGCAAUUUCGAUCCUAAUGUUGAUGCAAUGUUCGAUUUUGCCACAAGAAAAUAAGUUCCCAAAUGUAGCAGUUCAACUUUGAUCACAAGAUUAUGAGCAGAGACCAUAUUUCUAUAUGCUGCGAAAAUAGAUGCAAAUCUCAUUAGGAAGAAGGAUAACUUCAGAUAUUCUUAAACUUGAGAUCUAACAGCAUGAAAUAGGCAAGCCCCAGAUGUUAAAUGCUCAAGAGCUCUUCAAAUGCCGAGUCUAAGGUGCCAAUUAAGUUACCUCUCUAAUGCCAUUAGAUAAAAUUACUACUACUACAAACUACUACAUAGACCACCCUCUUAUUCUAAAGGUGAGUCACCAUUACCUCAUAAAGAAAGAUAACCCACAGUUGGGAGAUAGAAGAGAGAAAGUGUUAAAGCAAGAGAAACAGAGGACAGAGUUUUAAAAAGAACAACAGAGGGAAAGCUGAUCAAAAUCCAGAGCUUCACUUCUUCCUCUUCUUCGGGGGCUGAAUCGCUUCCUCGUCAUCGUCCUCCUCUUCCUCGUUCUCCUGAUCAUCAUCCUCCUCUACCACCUCUUCCUCCUCCUCGCCCCCGUCGUCAUCGUCGUCGUCAUCGUCGUCGUCAUUGUCGUCAUUGUCGUCAUCGUCGUCGUCGUCACCAUCUUCCUGAUCAUCGGGCUCUUCCUCCUCUUCCUCACCGUUCUCCUCGCCACCGGCGUCACCGCCCGGGUUCUUCUUCCCGCUGUUGUUGUUCGGGUUCUCGUGCCCUUCCCCUUCUUCCUCCGAGACAUCCUCUUCGCCCUCUCCAAAGUCACCGCCCUCUUCGCCAUCCCCGUCCUCGUCGCCGUCCUCUUCCUCAGCAUCUGCAGGCUCGGACUUGCUGCUUUUCCUUCCAGCAGAUUGGAACUCCGGCAUCAAAUAGAGUGGCUCCUGAAUUACAUUAGGGCGAGUAAUUAUACGAAAACCUAAGAUUAUAAAUUCAACAAAUGUGCAUCAACUUCCUUCUUAAAGUGAUACUCAACACUAAAAGCAGAGCAAUAGAAUAACAAUCCAAACACCAGUAUUGAGGCUUUUCUAAAGAAAUAUAAACCUAGAUAAGGAACCAAAAUCACUUGCUUAGGUGGACGUGGCUCGGCUCGGCUCGUUUUUCCUUAAUUGCAGAAUACAUCAAUUCAGAUGGAUUCAAACCGCCGAACCAAAUUCUUACAGUGAGAGCAUACAAAAUCAAUUCGAACAAACUUCUCAGAACGGUUUGGUUUUGUUCAAAAGUGCCAUCGCCCUCGCGAAAUCUAUUUCACAAAAACUUUUAAGGGGCCGCUGAUGAACAGGCAAUCACACGAAGUGCGUGCUGAUUAAUUCAAGCACGCACACUAUGGCACUUUAGAGGCCGAAUUAUUACUCUCUACUCACAAACCAAAUUCAAAAGUUCCAAUUUUUUGUUUUCACCUUCCCCCCCAACAUUGAACAAGCCUAUGCGGUUCACUUCCUUUUUAGUUCAGUUUCUAUUUUCCCGGGUAAUAGUCACAUGUGCGUGUGACAACCAUUAAUAUACAGCGGUAAGAAAAUAUUUGAGAAAAUAAAAAAAAUAAAAAAGAAAUCAUCAUGUUGACGUGAUGAUAUUAAAUGGACUAGUACACCAUAAUUGAUAAAACAAAUCCAAUAUACUAUUGUAACUCCAGUGAAAAAAACAGAGAUUUUCUUUUGAGUCUGGUCUCAAACAAAUUAUUAAGAAUUAACAACCUUGAUAAAAUAAUAAACUUCCCCCGCUAAGUCAACUAGUUACAGUAAAAUUAUAUAUAUAUAAAUAUACUCAAAUAAUUAUUUAAAUUUUUAAAAUUCAUUAUGUUUGUACGAAGUGUCUUGUGCGUACAAAUUAAUCAAAAAAAUCACCACAUCACUAUCACAUAUAAACGUAUAAUGAGAUCUAACCAAAUAUUGUCCUGCUACCCAAAAGUACAGUACCUAAAUUUUCAGUGACAUUUUAGCACCGUAAAAUUACGAUAUUACCCUCGUUACCGUGCCCUCAUCCGGCUCAAAGGGACUGGUUGGGUGCAACUUUAAAAGGACACGUGUCGCCUAGAGGAGCCAACCACGACAAACCCCUCUCUCUCUCUCUCUCUCUCUCUCUCUCUCUCUCUCUAUUCACUAUACGACAAUAAUAUCUCGAAACCCGAAUAUUCGUUUCCCUUCAUAAAUCGAAUAUUCUCAACCGGAAAUAAUAUAAUUAAUAAUUAUAAAAUUGGAAAAUAAAAAUCGAUCGGUUGGCUUUAAAUGCCAAGUGGGGCCCGCACCGGACCUGAAACCCGUGCUAUAAACCGCAAAACAAUCCGAGCCUCGGGUCCGCAAAAAAAACGGAGGCGCACGAUAGCGCUCGCCGCUCCACGCGACAAACGAAGUUAUGAAACCGUUUGAGAUCUCUCUUCGUAAACAGUGAGCUCAAACGGGUUAAAAUUAAGGAGAUUUAAUUAUCUAAUUAAGGAGUGAUUAAGUUAAAACAAAGUGAUAAAUUAGGGUUACCGUUGGGGGGAGAUGAGCUUUGGGAGUGGCGCCGAGGAGCUCCGCGGCGCAGGUUAGCGUGGACCGGGGGUGCUCUCCGGCGCAGGAUAGCGUGGACCGGGGGAGCGCUGAUGAUGGGAUCACGAUCUCCAUUUGGACGGCUGGGAUCUCGUAUCGGGAUGAGCCUGUGGUAAUCGGAAGGGUGGGAGAUGGAAAGGGAACCGUCAGAUCCAUAGUAGAUAUAAUGAGAAAACGAAACCUUAUUUUUUCCAAAAAUAAAAAAUAAAAAAUAUUUUUCCGCAAAGCCAAAAAAAAAAAAAAAGCCGGAAGAGCGUUUUAAAAUAAAAAAAAUUGUACGAAUAAUUUUAAAAAACUUUUUCCUUGGUUUUUUUGCACUUUCCUCCCAAUAUAGUAAACGAAACAAGGAUUCUACCGACUCAAAAAAAGGAAAAGGAAAAUUUCAAAAACAAAGAAAAAUUAGUCCCCUGAUUAACGCAAAAACCACCGAAUAAUCGCGAAAACUUCUUAAAUUUCUUAACAAUGAAAAAAUGGAAAAAAAAGAGGCCAAAAAUAUGAUUUUGAACACAGAAAAAGGCACUAAGCUAGCGAAAAAUCGAAUAUUUGGGCAAAUAAACACCAAAUUAAGAGGAAAAAUGACGAAAAAAAAGGUGAAGGAGAGGCACCUGUUAAGGGGGUCGAAGAAGAGAAGAAGCGGAUCUACGAAUAACUGGAACUAAGCCAAGCUCCGCUUCUUUAGCAUCAUCACCGACGAUGCUCUCGCCACAAAACAAAGAAAGAAAACAAAAAAUAGAAGGGGAGAUAAAGCGAAGAGAGGAGGGGAGCUAACAAGCUGAGAGAUUUUUUUUUUUCUGGUUUUUUUUUUAGAUUUUUUUAACUCUCUAGAGUUGGGUGGAGAGUGGGGGAGAGAGAGAGAGAGAGAGGGAGAGAGAGAGAGAGAGAGAGAGAGAGGGGNGAGGACGGGCAGUUCGGGCAGGGCGGGCAGGGCAGGGCGUGAGGGAAAAGAGUGGUGCGCACCGCUGCCCGUAGAAAUAGGAGGCUGAGGGAUAAACGGGGUAUUAGCAAAAUAAAAGCGAUAUAAUGCGCCUCGGAUUAGCGCUUAAUAUCUCGCGGUGAUCCUCCUCAUUAACGUUGCAAGAUUAACGGUCCAGUACAAAGCACGUGGGGCCCACAUGUCACCUAUACGAAAAAGCUGUGACACAAUAUAGCCGUUAAUGUGAUAGUAUUUCCACUCUUUUAAACCCCCCGGGUGUGGGGACCCACCGCACCCGAGCAAUUAGUAGAGUGGAUGGGAAUACGAUUCUCCCAGCUAACUAGGGUUAAGGUGUGUGGUUAGGUGAAGCAGUUGAGUUACUUGGUCUUUACUCUUUGGAGAGAGAGAGAGAGAGAGAGAGAGAGAGAGAGAGAGAGCUUUAUCCUGGCCACUUGGCCCUCGCGAGAUAUUUAAGGAUAUGUUCACCUAACACCUAGCUUACCCUCUUGAGCACAUUGUACUCCUUUUGAACCCGAACACAGAUCCAUUGGGUUGGUUUGGGUUUAGAUCCAACGUAUAUAAUAUAUAAUAAAAAUAAAUAAUUUUUUUAAAUUUUUAGUGUUAAAAAAUAAAAUUAUGAUAAGAUUAGUAUGCUAAAAUUAAAUUCUGAAUGAAUAAAGUAUAAGAUUUAAAAAACUGUAGCUUUUCAGAAAUUCAUAUUUACCCACUAGUCUUAUCUUAUCAACUAUUAUUAUAUUUUUAAUACUAAAAAUUCAAGCGAGAGGUGCAAAAUAUAUUAUACGCAUAAAAUAUUUUUAAUUAUGCAAAAAAAAAAUCAGAUUUUUUUUUUUUGUAUUUAAAAAAUUCUAAUAUAGUGUAACUAAAAUCACUCAUGAGACAAAAGACUAGUAAGAUAUUUCCAUUAAAAAACAAAUGAUGGGGCAACUUGAGAAGAGCAUAUAAUGAGGGGGUCACCGUACAUUUGUAUCUAUUUUAUUCUCUCGCACUUUAGUUUUUAGAGUGGUGAGAGGUUACCUGCGAUCACCGAUGCAACCACAAAGCCAAAGACCGAGUCAGAGUGGCGAUCCUCCCGCUCGUUAACACCGCCACCAGUUUUAUUCAGCGCUGGAUUUAUCCGUUAAUUAAGCAGAUUGAAUCGAAGAUUUGAAAUCCAUCAAACUUUAGCUCGCCAUUCCUUUCUAGAAGAAAGAUGUGGUACCUGCCACUAAAGCGUGGGCAAACUUUAGCUCAGCUCAGCACAUAGCGAAAAAAUGAUUAUAUAUGAAAAUCACAAACUCUGCCCCUUAAUUUAAUAAAAGAUAAAUGUUAAAUGGCGAAUCUAAACUCACCCUUAUCCCACGGUAUGGUUUAGUUGUUUUAGUCCCUCGGAAAUGCAAGAUCAUUAGUGUUAACUACCUAGAUGUCAAUCCAUGAGGUCAAAAGUUUGAAACUCCACUUGAGUGUUUAUUAAUAGGGCGUUAUUAUUAACGGAGCAUUCUCAACAGUACAGUAAAAAAAUAAUCCUGGUAUAGAAUAGUUUCUAAGAUGGGACCUACAGACUUAAUGAAAAAAACGAAACAGAGGCACAAUUUCGUACUUCACCUACUCAUUUUAAGAGCGUGGACUUGGUCCAACGGGCCUUAUGGACUUCUAAUGGCUACUUUACUGGGUCCUCCAUAAUUUUUCAGUUGGGCCCUCUGCGAAGCUUAGGAAAUAAAAUUUACCAACAAACUUUUCCCUCAAACCGAAAAAAAAAAAUUUAUAAAAAAAAGAGAGCGAAUGUAGCUAUUAGUAAUUUAUUAUCUGGGGUCUCACACGCCCUUAAAUCAAGCGUAGCAACGAGACAACGAAUGAGAGAGCCCUCAAAUUUCCGAACCUGAUUCAUAGAGAAUUCACAUAUUCAUCUCUUAAGAUAGAAAUUGCUAAGAUUGAUAAAUAAACUGCAAAAGUUGAAUGGUACUAGGGAGGAAAAACUCAUAGCCAAUGUGUAACAAAACCUCGACAAGGAUAUCAUCUCCCAAGACAAUAAAAGUACUUCAAUGCUUAUCAAAAAAUUAAACUUUUGACAAAGAUCUCUAGAAAGACUGGUAGCCAAGUUGCCAAUCAAUAAUGCAGGUCGAAACUUAUUUUAGUAUUCAUUUACACUAUGAAAGUAGCAAGCAUUUUGAUGCAAAUAAUAACAAUGCUAGAGUAACAAACAUAGGCUACCAUCAAUGAGGACAACAACGGAAAAGUAAAGCAUACCUGAACAAGCAUAGAUUAUGAACGAGUGUAGUGACAUCCAUGAAUUACUAAUUAUUCUAGUUUAACAGUAGUAUAUUAGCUAACCACAAUGCUUACAUACAUGCAAAGUCUAGUACCACAGGUAGAAUGCGAACUACCUUACAGUUACAAGAUCAGACCUUUGAGAGUAGCAUUGCAAAGAAAUAUUAAGGUGAAAUAGAGCAUGCCACGAUGUACAAGUAGGAAUACUUUUUUUUUUUUUUUAACGUGUAUAUAAUGUGCACCUGGUACCAGUAAAUAUCAUUCUACAAGAACAUGGUUUAAAGCUUAAGAUCUUUAACAGAUGCUAGUAAUGUCACACGUGAGAAUGAUUUAUGAAGGCAACUAAGACAAUUGCCAACAGAUUUAUUAUGUUUCAGAAGAUAAAUAUCUGAUAACCUUGCCAACUUCAAAGAAUCAGAAACAUCUGGAGACAACCAUGGUUGUAUAAUCUCUAGAAUGCAGCAUAUAAUAAUGUUAAACGGGUGUAACAUCAAUCUUUGCGUAAGGAUGGCUGAAGGAGAGAGCACAGCUAUUUUCCAUAAAUAAGGUUCAAGGGGUAAUGUCCUCAAAAAGCACAAAUGUUCUCUUACUGCUUGUCAGUAGCACAUGCCUGCUAGUUUUGAGCUAAGUACAAACAACGAAAAUAAAGGAUGCAUAUGGCUGAAUACUGUCAUAUCUAUAUAGAAUCUUAACAUAGAGUCUAAAAGAAAUUGAUAUAAUAAGACAAUCAGUUCAGAUUUGAAUUGAACUAUUUCAAACAUCAUCUCAAUCAAAAAAUGAAUAUAUGACACAUACCCAUAGCUUUGGCUUAAUCGUAUAUACUGAUGCAAUAUAUAAUUAGUUCUCAACUGAUCUAAAACUGAUACCAAAGUGGGGAUGGCCAAUAUACAAAAUACAAAGGAACUGUGCAAAAUCCAAAACUAUAGAAAAGAAGAGUUAAAAUCCCAUCUUGAUAAAUGUAGCAUAAACAAAAACUAAUAAUUUAGUUGUUGCUAUAUAGCAUAAACAAGACCUAAUUAUUGAAAAUGGACAACAUCUCCCUUUCACACACAAGUGCACAAACUGUUAGCUUUGCAAUGAUCGAUACAAGGUUGACUAUAUAAGAAGGCCCACGGUUAAGUUGACGCAAUUUGGUCCGUGAAUGAGAAAUGACGGUAGUGGCAUUUUUGUUGUUUAUAAAUUACCUACAAUGCAUGUAGCCAUGAACAAAAUAUAUAGAAAAAUUCUGACUAAUGGAAGUCCAUAACAACAAAGCCACCGCGGCUGCACAAGAAUGCAGUUCAAGCUGCAGCUCAGGCAGAGUCGAUCAAAACAGUAGCUCUAAAAUAAAUCAAUGUGCAUCAAUUGAUUUCGGUCGGUUAAGACUAACUUGUCGUCUCUAUUUUGCGCUGCAUGCAUGCGCAGUAGUUAAAUCUGUAAGGGCCUCCCGCCAACUCUAUUGUUAUUUGCUGGCGAUAAGAUAGUCUUCUCAUUGCUGCCCUUAGAAGAUACAAAUUCAAUUAUAACUAAAAAGCCAACUAAAUAAGAUCUAAAGUUUACUAGUACCUGACUGCUAGCUCAACUGGUAGGAGCAUCGUCCUUCAUGCAGCUAUCUUAAUCUUUGCAAUUGUUGUCACAUAGUUAGAGGAUUGCUCUAUGUGGUGCUUGUGGGGCCCAAAAUGGAUUUAAAAAUUUUGUCAAAAAGAACAUCUGAAGGUGACUAGUUAUCAACCAUUAAAAGAGCAAGAUAAAAUCCAAUAUGCGAUAAAACUGUACAUCUGUAAUAAGAUAUAAAUAUAUUACGAAAAGUUCCUUUUCGAUAUUAUAAGGCUCCUAAAGGCUUACUCAACAUCUCUAGAGCCAACACAGAUUGAAAAGCCAUCUGAUCUAUAUGCCAACACCAUUAAGCACAGGUGCAAUUAAACAAAAACCAGAAGGGAAAAAUAAAACCAGCAAAGGAAACUAAUGUCAAGGAAGGAAGUCGCUACAGAUUCAAAAGCCAUCUGAUCUCUGAAUCACAUGAAUUAACCAUAAUCACAAUAUCAUGCUAAAAAAAGGAAGGAAUAUCGAACAGUAGGGAAAUCAGGCAAUCAGCAUAAAAUCUAUAAUCAUUUAGUAAUUUGAAGAUAAACACAUUAAACCGAAAGAAUACUUUUAUAGUAGCAAUUUGAACUCAUAUGCAACAAUCUUUCAAUAGCAACUUCCAUUAAGACAUCAACAAGAUCCAGCUGAAUGCAUUUUGUUGGUUCUUCAGAAAUAAAGAAGUCAGUCAUGUAAACGACAUACUUGUCGUGUAUACUUAAAGGAGACAUCUUUCUGGAAAGUGAAAGAGUAUAGAAAUUAAUAAUAAUGUGACGUUUGAAUUUACCAAGAGAAUACUAGUUUCGAAAUAAUUGCGACAAAAUCAUGACAAAGGCAACAAUUUGUUAAACCUCAACAAUGUAAACAAUGUAUUAGCCACCAAUGAAAACCAUCGACACAAAAAGAAAAGCCAAAGCACCAUGUACGAAAACCACUAGAGACAACUAUAGCAAUAUCUGUUACAAGAAAACGGCAACACAGCUAUAAAAAGCACAGCUAACGGCUAAAACGCAAAACAAUACAACCAUAAAAUUCGACAAAAACCAUAUCACAAAAAGUUCUUUUCCAAAUAACUUUUGCAGCGCAUUCCUCAACAACCCGAGCUUGAUUACGGAUUCAAAAGCCAUCUGAUCUCUAAACCGCUUAAGUAAAUCACGGUCGCAAUAUCGAACUAAAAACGGAGGGAAACCCGACCAGCAAGGCAAUUGAGAAGCUAGAAGACAAUAGAUAUAAGUAUCAAGAAUCUUUUAAACACUCGAAACAAGUAAGAAUAUCAGCAAGAAAAAAACAAGUGUCAAAACUCUUAUACCUAAUGUUGUUGCCCAUAGCCACCCAUAUGUCCAAUAGGCGGUCUUGGCAUCUGGGCCUGCCCCGCAGGUCCGGCCUGAUAAGGAGCAACACCGGCGGUGCCAGCAGCUCCUCCCUGCUGAGUCACCGGCGUAGUGCCUUGGUAUCCAGGAGGACCCUGAAACCCCGGAGGCCCUUGCAAGACAGAAGGGCCCUGAAACCCAGGAGGUCCUCCCUGAAACCCUGCAGUCUGGUAACCAAUGCUCCCAACCCCUAAACCCUGAAUUGGUGAUGUCUGCGUAACAGCGGAAGGUGCCAUAGUUGGCUGGGCCCCAGCACCCAAUGCAGCAGCAGCAAAAGCAGGGUUCAGCGACGCAAGCACCGCUGGAUUGAAGCCAAAAGCAGCCGGAUUCUGCCCGGCCGCCGCCAGCAUGGCGAGCAUUGCCGCAUUCGGUUGCAUCCCCUGCACAAAGGCUUGGGGAGCACCCAUCCCCAAAAAACCCUGGUUCAACAACGCAGUUUGCUGGGCCAAUCCCAUGUCAGGGGUCAUACCACCCAUGCCGACUACGCCGUUGUAAGCUGCGAUGCUCUGUGGCAUGUUCAUAGCAGCUACUACCUCAUUACCAGAGGGGUUUAUCAUAGGGCCUGACGCCGCCUUGUUCCUACCAUCGGUCGCCCUCUGGCAUUGGAGCAAGUGGCCUUCAAAGUUCUUGAUAGGCUCCUCAAGGGCUUUUUGCGCGCCCUCCAAUGUCUUGUACACGAAGAGCGCGAAGCCCUUGGCCUUACCUGUUUGGCGAUCAAACCCUAAGGGGCCCUCCUCGAUCUCGCCAAACUUCGCGAAGAAGUUGUAGAGACGAGUGCCAUCAAUGUCGGCAUGGACGUUCGCGACGUAGAUCUUCCUGGGAAGGUUGUCCGAGUAGGUAGUGCUAGGAUUAGGGUUAGGGUUAGGGCUAUGGCUAGGGUUCGGGAGAGGAUUGGGGCUAGGGUUAUGUUGCUGGUGACCGUGGGGGGUGGGUCCGGUGGAGGCGAGCUGGCACGCGGUCAUGCGGUUGUCGAUGAGCUUCUGGGGUUCGCGGAGGGCGCGGCUCGCGGAGCUCCGGUGGCGGAACUGGACGAAGCCGUAGCCCUUCGAUCGGCCGGAGGGCUUGUCGACGAUGACGCGGCAAUCCUCGAUCUCGCCGUAUCGGGCGAACGCAGCGCGGAGCCCCUCGGAGGUGGUCUCCCACCCAAGGCCGUGGACGAAGAGCUUGCGGUGGGCGGGAUCGGCGUCGGCGGCGCUCAGGAUCUCGUCGAGCGUACGGGGGUCGCGCGCCGCGGCGGAGCGGAGGAGGGAGAUGAGCUGUUCCCGCGGGAACGGCUCCAGGAGCUUCCCCAGGUCCUCGUCCUCCUCCUCAGCGCCGGCGUAGUCGUCGCCGUCGCCGUCGCCGUCCCCCGCCGCCGCGGGCGCGUCGUCGGGGAUGGGGAAGUACAGAGUUUGGCGCGGGGUCUUGUGGUCGGAGGAAUCAUGGUGGUUGGGAGCGGAGAGGAGAUCGUCCUCCUGAUCGACCUUGCGCUUCUUCGUCGCCAUGGAUUAUGGAAGUUCCUAGGGUUUGCGAGGGUUUUAGAUGCUCGUCCAAAUACCAAAGAGAGAAAGAGAGGAGAGAGGAGAGGGGAAUUACUAUUUUACGCUAGGGUUUAUAUAGAAGUUCCGAGGAAGAAGAAGAAGACGAUGGAAACGUUACGAAGUUUAAUAACGAUUAUAUUGGGCUUUUAUGCAACGAGCAGCCCAGUUUGUAAAGUGGCUCGUCCGGAGGGAUGCUUAUAAUGGGCCAACUUCGAAUCUUACUUCGCACCAAUACUAAAAUUAUAAAAUUUAUAAAAGUUUUAAGAAAAAACUUCGAAAACCCCCCAUCGUAGUUUCGCAAUUUCUCACUUUUGUAUACCGUGGUUUAAAGUAUAUCAAGUUAGUANCCGAGCUUGAGCCUAGAUUUAGGCUCGAAAUUAAUUUCAAGCCGAAUUUGAGCUGACAUAAGCUCGCUCGAGCUCGGCUCGUUUCCACCCCUACAAGUUAGUACCCUGUGGUUUCGCACUUUCUCACUUUAGUACCAUUUGGUUUAAAGUGUAUCAAGUUAGUACCCUGUGGUUUCGCACUUUCUCACUUUAGUACCCUGUAGUUUAAUAUUUCAUUUGGAGAAAAAUAAAACUACAGGGUACUAACUUGAUACAAAAAUAAAACCAUAGGGUAUUAAUUUGAUACAAAAAUAAAAUCACGGAGUACUAACUUGAUACACUUUAAACCACAGGGUACUAAAAUGAGAAAGUGUGAAAACACAGGGCAUUAACUUAGUACAAUUUAAACCAUAGGGUAUAAAAUGAAAAAGUGCAAAACCACAUUGGAGGUUUCUGAAGUUUUUUCAAGUUUUAAUUAUCAAACAUAGCACUCGAAGUUUUGGAAAAUUUAAGGGAAAACUUCAAAAAUCCCUCCUGUGGUUUUGCACUUUUUUAUUUUAGUACUCUGUGGUUUAAAGUGUAUUAAGUUAGUACCCUGUGGUUUCUCAUUUUAUCACUUUAGUACCUGUGGUUUAAAGUGCAUCAAAUUAGUAUUGUGGUUUUAUUUUUGUAUCAAGUUAGUACCCUAUGAUUUUAUUUUUGAAUCAAAUUAGUACCCUGUGAUUUUUAAACCACAAGGUACUAAAGUGAUAAAGUGCGAAACCACAACCCACAGGGUACUAAAGUGAUAAAGUGCAAAACCACAGGGUACUAACUUGAUACACUUGAAACCACAGGGUGCUAAAGUGAAAAAGUGCAAAACCACAGGUACUAACUUGAUACACUCUAAACCAUAGGGUACUAAAGUGAGAAAAAGUGAAACCACAUUGGGGGUGUUUGAAGUUUUUCCAAAAUUUAAUUUUCUUUUGUCGGUCCAUUUGGCUGCUCAAAACUUGCAAAUCAUCUUGGCAAGAUAAGAUGAUUUGCUAUCAUCGGAAUGUCUUUUUGUAAAAUAUUUUUAUUAUCAUCUCUUUGUUCUGAAAUCAAAUUUUAAUAAAAUUUAAUUCGACUCCAGUUCAAAAAAUUCUAUUAUAAAUUAAUUAAAAAUAUAUUUGAUGUAAAAUAAAUCAGAGUAUGUUUACAAAAAAAAGAAAAUCAUUUUAAGUUGUCUACUUUCCUAACAUAUCACUUUCACCCCUUUCCCGAAACCAGAAAUCGGCAGGCAAUCAGAAGCCGUCGCCGAUUUUAGCUUAACAAACGCUUUUCUCAACCAGCGUAGAUCCCACGCACACGUGUAACGUGUAGCGAUGGCACAUCAGCCGUCGAUCUCCACUGUUCCAGUGUCUCUACAUUCGGGACCGUCCGAUGAAUCGACGUUUCUUCGUGGCUCCACCGAAACCUUCUCCCUAUAAAUCCCUCCCCCCCUUCUUUUUCUGUGUCCCAUUUCGUCGAACACCUUUCGAGCUCCCCUCGCGUCUCCCACUCUCUCCUGAGCUCCAUUAAUCUCUCUCUUCCCUUCAUUCUCUGUCUACGUCGUCUUCGUUUUCUCCACUCUCCGCUGAGGUAACUCUCUCUCUCUCUCUCUCUCUCUCUCUCUCUAGGGGGCACAAGGCGAUUGUUAGGGCUGGUGCCGUGAUUGGGGGAGGUCCACGGCCCCACCUUAUCUCCUUGCUAGGGUUUGGUCGCCCCCCUUCUACUCCUGGUUGUAUCCCUUUUGCCAUUUCUUGCUUCGGGUUUUGUGGUAAAGUCGUUAGGGUUUAUUUGGAGUCUUUUUUGAACUUAGAUCAAUCUGACUUGCAAUUUACUUUCUUAUGAAACACUUCUCGAUGAUUUGAUUUGAGCGUGCGUGUGCAUUUCCCCAAUUAAGCGAUUCUUGGCUUGUUUUAUGAGUAAUACUCUUCAAUCUUGUUGAUUUUCUCUGCAGUUCCGCACAAAAAGUUAGUGCAUUACUUUUUGUAUGAGUAUUUUACCUAUACUUUAUCGAGGAAAGAAAUUAGGGAUGGGAUUUCGUCUUCCCUUUUAAGGAAAUUGAUUUUAUUCGGCACGCUUAUUAAUGUGUAUUGUCCAAUUUUUUAUCGCAACUCUUUUUAUUAUCUAGGAUUGGUAGGAAAAAGCAAUGGCGAAUCUUUCCGGUCUGAGUACAGGAGCCGCAAACCCGAAUCCAAACAAAUCUUUUGAGGUAAGGAUUCCCCAUUACCGAAAUUAUGUACUGUUUACUGAGCAAUUCCUAUUUUGUUCCUCAUUUCGGCAAUGUUUUUACACCUAUGCUCAGCAUAAUUAUACAGUGACAUGAUGUUUCACUUGAAUGCAGGUUCUGCCCUCUCCUAGUGAUUCUGUCUCGAGCCUUAGUUUCAGCCCAAAAGGAAAUUUCCUGGCGGCUACUUCUUGGGAUAAUCAGGUCUUCUACUCGCAGGCUUUGAAUAUAGCAAAUUUUAAGUACUAAUGUUCUAUGACUUUAUCUAUUUGUUAUGACAUUAACGUCUUGUGCAUACCCUUUUGUUUCCACGGGAUAUAGGUUAGAUGCUGGGAGAUUCUUUCUGGGAGCAGUCAGCCGAAAGCAUCAAUUUCACAUGAACAUCCGGUUUGUUGUGAUGUUUGUUAUUUCGGAUUUUUGUGUGUCUGAUGUUUCUUAUUUGCUGAUUGGUGGUUUUCUGCCGCAGGUUCUAUGCUCGACUUGGAAGGAUGAUGGGAUGACUGUGUUUUCUGGAGGCUGUGACAAGACCGUCAAGAUGUGGCCAUUAAUGACUGGUGGGCAGCCUGCUACAGUGGCUGCUCAUGAUGCACCUGUUAAGGAGCUUGCUUGGAUCCCCCAAAUGAAUCUUCUUGUUACAGGCAGCUGGGAUAAAACAUUGAAGUGAGAAAUGCUUUAUUAAUUUCUUUAAUUUCUUCCUUUUGCUCAUCUCAUUUUUCAUUUCUCAAUGGACCUGAAUUUCCUUGAAUAAUGUGAAGUUGAGAAGCAAUGUGCACCCUUGUUUCGUGGGCUUAUAUUUUCUAUUUUCUGUUAAAGAGGUGGAAACCAUUUGGUGAAAUAUCUUUUUAGAAUCGAGCCAUCUAACACUUUGGGAUAUCAUGAUGUAUGAGAAAUGCUUUCUUGUCAUUGUUACAGUAAACAGUGGCUAUAAUUUGAUGUUCCAAUGCUACUAGUGUUGUUGUCUUAUAAGUAAGGUAUAUCUUAGUAUGAAAAAUGAUUGUUUAUACUAUCCAUUAUAAGACUAUCUACCAUGACGGGUUUUUUAGUGCAAUAGUCUUCUCCUAAAAUUUUAUUCUAAACAUAGACCUGUUAAAUUUUUAUUUAUAAAUAUGGUCCUAUAAAAGCGGUGAAUGGUUCACCGCUUUUAAAAGCGGUGAACCAUUGACCGCUUUUUUUCUUUUUCUCACUUCUUUUUAUAUUUCUACGAUGGUAAAAGCGGUGAAUGGUUCACCGUUUUUAUUCUUUUUCUACUCCUAAUGAGAAGUUAUGAAUGCGGUGAAUCAUUCACUGCAUUUAGAGGUCUAUUUUUAUAAUUAUUUUUUUUAAAAAAAUUAUUUUAUAAUUAUAAAAAUCGAUAGGAUUAUUUAUAAAAAAAAUUCACCAUUGACAGUCUUUGGGUUGUGGAGAUAAAGAGGAGAUAGAUUGGCUAUUUGUGCUUUAUUUUGCUUAUUAAGAUAUCUUAAAUUUGAUCUGAAAUUUCUGGAUCCUUUGAGGACAGUGUUAGUUAGUCGUUAUUGUCUACUCUGUGCUGUACUUUAGUUGCUUUCAUUUACACAAUAUUGAUUAUGAAAUCAUGUUGCUUGUAGGGUUUCAUAUUUUGAAGCCUAUUUUAAAUGCUUUUCAUUUUGUUGUUCUUCCUUUUAUAUUUUUACCGUACAUCUGUAGUAUCAUUGGUAGUUUUCCAUGUAAACUAUCUGUGAACUUACUUUCCAUAUUUGUCUACCUCACAUCUAGGUACUGGGAUACUAGACAACCACAGCCUGUUCAUACACAGCAGCUCCCUGAGCGUUGCUAUGCUAUGACGGUCCGGUAUCCUCUUAUGGUUGUUGGGACGGCAGAUCGACAGCUGAUAGUUUACAAUUUGCAAAAUCCUCAGGUGAUUUAUCUAACACCAGCUGACUAUUGGCUAUUGCGAGUUAAUAGUCGUGCUCCGCAUUAGAGAAUAUGUUUGCACCAUUGUGAGUUGUGUCUCUCAAAUUAAAAUCGUUGAAAUCUUCACCAAACGUUGGUGCAACACUGCAUGUUCUUUUGGCUCUCAAGAUUCCACAAUCUUGGGAUCCUGCGAUUCAAGGCUGCCACUUCACUUGUAUUUUAGUUGUUGUAAUAUGGGCUCGAUGGCGUAAAUGCCAUUAUCAAGGUGUCUUUUGAUGCAGCCAAGAGUAUGUACGCAUAUGCAGGCCCAGUACUAAACAAAUUUUUUUCCCUUUUUUCUAAUUAGACCAUAUAUUUAAAUUUGUUGAAGUUUUGAUAGUUGAUAGUUUUUUUUUAUUUUUUAUUUUAUAUAUAUAUCGACUGCCAACAGACAGAGUUCAAGAGAAUUCAGUCACCUCUGAAGUACCAGACACGAUGCCUUGCUGCAUUUCCUGAUCAACAAGGUUUUCUGGUAAUGCUAUAUUCUUUUAUUUACAUAUUUUCACUUUUUGUUAUUCUGCUGCAUUUUUUUUAAUCGUAAUUUGGAGUGACAUUUGCAUUUUUUAUGUGGGCAUGGAUUUCAUUUGUCUGCUAUGGAUCAUUAUGGCUUUGUUUCAAUGAAUUCUCUUUUCUUUUCUUUUCUUUUUUUUUUGUUUGGUGGAAAACACUGACUUCAGUUGAAUAAAUGAAAUAGAUGCUUUAUACAGUUGAAAACACUGACUUCAGUUGAAGACACUGACUCAAGGAAUAGAUGCUUUAUACAGUUUUUGGGUAUCUCCAUAAAUGUUUCAUAUCCUUUGGAAGUUGUAAUGCAAACAAAUUUUAAUACAAGAGUUGAGUUAGAGUACUUUUAGAAGUACCAUUUUUAUGUCAUUUCCGAUGACAGGGCAUCCGAAUUGAUGAUCGAAGCCACUAAACAUGAUCUAUAGCAUGUGAACAUCCUAGGAACCAAACUUGGUUUUUUUUUUAAUUUACCUAUUGUUCACGUGGUCUCAGAACCAACAAUUUUCAAGGGUAGAUACAAGGUGUAUUUGAGGCCACUUGAUCACUAGGUAAAUAAUCAUGAAAAAUCGCAAAUUUUUGCUUCCUACAAAAUUCACAAGUGGUGGAUCAUAUUUAUGGUAUAGAUCGUCGAUUCGGAUGCCCCAUCUUCGGAAACAGAGGCUUAGUACUUCUGAAAUUAUUCUAACUCAAUUUUUAAUGCAAAGUAAUCUGUUUAUAUAGUUGAAACUUACCUGUUGUUUCAAUUAAUGCAAGCUAAUUUUACAUGGUGUUUCCUUUUGCAGUUUAUUUACCUCUUGAAGUACAUAUCACUUUACCUUUCAUCUUUUUCUUGUCAAGGUGGGCUCUAUAGAAGGAAGAGUCGGCGUCCACCAUUUGGAUGAUGCACAACAGAGUAAAAACUUUACAUUCAAAUGCCACAGAGAAGGCACUGAGAUUUACUCUGUGAACUCAUUGAACUUUCAUCCUGUAAGAUACUAAUCUUAGUUUUUAAGUGUAAGGGACUUUUUCAGAUUAACUUAUGCUUCUGCUGUUCCUUUAUUUGUGUAGGUGCAUGGCACGUUUGCCACUGCAGGAUCAGAUGGAGCUUUCAACUUCUGGGACAAAGACAGUAAACAAAGACUUAAGGUAUUAUUAGGACAGUAGGAUUUUCACAGUAGAAUUCAACUUUUAUGUGCUCUAUAUUAAUAGAUUUGUUUCUUAUUAUUCAUAUCUCCACCGAUAUGAGUUGUUGUGCAUGUUAUGGUUCUUUGAAAGCUCUAUUUUGUUUUACACAUCUGUGUUAUUUCUUCCUUCCAUUCCUGCUUUUGAAUUCUGCUUAAGAGGGUGCUGAAUGUAGACUGGAGAUAGUGUAAAUGUAUGAAAUGACACAGAAAGGAAGUGCUCAUUUGUGCUUGAGUACUAGAAUUUUAUACAUUAAACAUCAUUAUUUAUUAGUAUGAGAUGCAUGGGAAACAUCAUUAUUUAUUAUUAUGACAUGCAUGCAAUGAUAGCUACCUGUUCCGUGAAGCAUCUUCUGGGAUUGACUUGUUUGCGCGUGGUUGAACUUUGACAUGUUUGGUUGACCUUUGACUAUGAUAUUUAAUUUAAUGGAUAGUGUGACCCUUCAUUUUAUGCCGCUUGAUAUGUUUUAUUAAUUUUACUGACCAUACUGUACUUUUUACAGGCUAUGGCUAGGUGUCCUCAUCCUAUCCCCUGCAGUACAUUCAACCAAGAUGGUUCAAUAUUUGCCUAUGCGGUGGGUCUUACUUCUUGGACGUGCAAUUUCUGCUUUUCUAGGAUCCUUUCUUCCAGUACAUGUUUCUAAUGUACAUGUCUGUUUUUAUACUUGUACUUCUGUUUUGAACUUUUUACCUACAUGUUGGCUUAAUAUAUGUUAGUGGCUAGAUUCUUAGAGAUGUUCUUACUAAAUGGUGUUGCCUCUAAGGCUAUUAUACUGUAAAAUAGCUGUAAAUAAGGGUUCACUUCACCCGUGAUUUGUAGAUUGUUUGUUUUGGUAAACAAAAUUUUCUUCUUUUGUGUCUUCUAAUAAAACUAUUAGGCCUGACUUGUAUGCCUGUGUGAGCAGAAGCUUACAUACACACAAUUGAGAAUAAAUUUCUCUGCGAUAAAAUUUUCAGGUGUGCUAUGACUGGAGCAAGGGUGCUGAGAAUCAUAAUCCGGCUACUGCAAAGACGUAUAUCUAUCUUCAUACGCCACAGGUUAGUUUUAACUCUGAUAUUUU